CUCCCUCUCCUCCACCUUACGAGUACAAGUCGCCACCCCCUCCUUCUCCCUCUCCACCACCACCUUACGAGUACAAGUCGCCACCCCCUCCUUCUCCCUCUCCGCCAUCACCAUCUCCUCCACCACCUUACUACUACAAAUCACCACCCCCUCCUUCUCCUUCUCCACCACCACCUUACUACUACAAGUCUCCACCACCUCCAUCACCAUCUCCUCCACCACCAUACUACUAUAAAUCACCUCCUCCACCCUCUCCAUCACCUCCUCCACCAUAUUACUACAAGUCCCCACCACCUCCAUCACCUUCACCCCCACCACCUUACUACUAUAAGUCUCCACCUCCACCUUCACCAUCACCACCUCCACCUUACUACUACAAGUCUCCUCCACCACCUUCACCAUCACCUCCACCACCAUACUACUACUCUUCCCCACCACCACCCAAGAAAUCACCUCCUCCACCAUACUACUACUCCUCUCCUCCACCACCCAAGAAGUCACCUCCACCUCCAUACUACUACAGUUCUCCACCACCACCAGUUAAGUCUCCUCCUCCGCCAUACUAUUACUCCUCACCACCACCACCCAAAAAGUCACCUCCGCCACCAUACUACUACUCCUCACCACCACCACCUAAGAAGUCUCCUCCACCAUACUACUACCACUCCCCUCCACCACCAGUUAAGUCUCCUCCUCCUCCAUACUACUACCACUCCCCUCCACCACCAGUUAAGUCUCCUCCUCCUCCUCCAUACUACUACACUUCCCCUCCACCACCUACUCCUUACUAUCCUCCUCAUCAUCCCUUGAUCGUUAAGGUUGUCGGAAAAGUCUAUUGCUACAGAUGCUACGACUGGAAAUAUCCAAAGAAAUCCCAUGACAAGAAGCACCUUAAAGGUAUACUAUUUUUCUCUGCCACAUUUUCUCUUACAUUAUUCUUGUUCUGUUUAAUAUUUCUUCAUAACUAUAUAUAUUUAUCUCAAGUAUGUGGUUCCUUCUUGCUUUAAAGAUUUAGCUCAAAAUUUGAAAAAUCUUGGCUCUAUUAUAAUUCCCUACAAAAAGAUGCGAAAGAAAAGAAAGUUGAUAAAUGCACUAAAGAUGAUUAUCAAAAAAUGCUUUAAAAACUAUUGAAUAAUUUUUUUUACAACUGAAUAUAUGAUGAAAAGAACANACUACAAAUCACCACCCCCUCCUUCUCCUUCUCCACCACCACCUUACUACUACAAGUCUCCACCACCUCCAUCACCAUCUCCUCCACCACCAUACUACUAUAAAUCACCUCCUCCACCCUCUCCAUCACCUCCUCCACCAUAUUACUACAAGUCCCCACCACCUCCAUCACCUUCACCCCCACCACCUUACUACUAUAAGUCUCCACCUCCACCUUCACCAUCACCACCUCCACCUUACUACUACAAGUCUCCUCCACCACCUUCACCAUCACCUCCACCACCAUACUACUACUCUUCCCCACCACCACCCAAGAAAUCACCUCCUCCACCAUACUACUACUCCUCUCCUCCACCACCCAAGAAGUCACCUCCACCUCCAUACUACUACAGUUCUCCACCACCACCAGUUAAGUCUCCUCCUCCGCCAUACUAUUACUCCUCACCACCACCACCCAAAAAGUCACCUCCGCCACCAUACUACUACUCCUCACCACCACCACCUAAGAAGUCUCCUCCACCAUACUACUACCACUCCCCUCCACCACCAGUUAAGUCUCCUCCUCCUCCAUACUACUACCACUCCCCUCCACCACCAGUUAAGUCUCCUCCUCCUCCUCCAUACUACUACACUUCCCCUCCACCACCUACUCCUUACUAUCCUCCUCAUCAUCCCUUGAUCGUUAAGGUUGUCGGAAAAGUCUAUUGCUACAGAUGCUACGACUGGAAAUAUCCAAAGAAAUCCCAUGACAAGAAGCACCUUAAAGGUAUACUAUUUUUCUCUGCCACAUUUUCUCUUACAUUAUUCUUGUUCUGUUUAAUAUUUCUUCAUAACUAUAUAUAUUUAUCUCAAGUAUGUGGUUCCUUCUUGCUUUAAAGAUUUAGCUCAAAAUUUGAAAAAUCUUGGCUCUAUUAUAAUUCCCUACAAAAAGAUGCGAAAGAAAAGAAAGUUGAUAAAUGCACUAAAGAUGAUUAUCAAAAAAUGCUUUAAAAACUAUUGAAUAAUUUUUUUUACAACUGAAUAUAUGAUGAAAAGAACAUCAUAAGUAAAAGUAAGAAAGCAUCGUCAUCACUUAAUUAUGCCUGCCGUAAAAAAAACAUAUUUGAAAUAUGUAUUCAUUGAUUGCGCAAUUAUUUGUGGUAUUAUGUAGUAUGAUUUUUUUUUUCAUGAUCAAGUAAUUUAGUAUGAUUUUUUUUUUCAUGAUCAAGUAAUUAUUAACUUUAUUGUAAAUCACCAAAAUGGUGAAAAGAACAUAGUGGUGCCAACCAGUCUUCGUUGGCUUACUGAAAAAUCGUAAUUGAAGACAGAUGGAUAAAGUCUUUGACUUUUGAAUUACUUAAUAGAUAAAGAGGGAAAAAAACAUGAAUUAGUGGAUAAUGAGCUUUAGAUCCUGUGAUGGAACACAUAAUAUUUUAUAAGAAAAGGACAAAGUUGGUUAUUGUAGCUAGUGGGCAGAAUAAGCUUAAGAUAUGUCUAUAUUGUUCAAUUAUUAAGUACUAAUUGCAUCAUCAAUUUUCACAUUUGGUAUAGGUGCUGUUGUUGAGGUAACAUGCAAGGUUGGUGACAAGGAAGUCAAGAGCUAUGGCACCACUAAGAUUAAUGGCAAGUUUAGCAUCACUGUUGAAGGAUUUGAUUAUGCCAAAUAUGGAGCAGAUGCAUGCAAGGCUAAACUCCACAAAGCACCAAAGGAUUCUAAAUGUAACAUCCCCACAAAUCUUCAUUGGGGCAUUAAGGGUGCUGACCUCAAAGUAAAGUCAAAGAAUCAUUAUGAAGUUGUGCUCUAUGCUAAACCAUUUGCUUAUGCUCCAAAAACUCCAUAUGAAGAAUGCAUGAAGCCUAAGCCAACUCCAACUCCUUACUACUACAAAUCUCCACCUCCUCCAUCGCCAACAUACGUAUACAAGUCACCACCUCCUCCAACCCCAACAUACGUAUACAAGUCACCACCUCCUCCAACCCCAACAUACGUGUACAAGUCACCACCUCCUCCAUCACCUAAAUACGUGUACAAGUCGCCUCCUCCUCCAUCGCCUAAAUACAUAUACAAAUCUCCACCUCCUCCAUCACCAAAGUACAUGUACAAGUCACCUCCUCCUCCAACCCCAACAUACAUGUACAAGUCACCACCUCCUCCAUCACCUAAGUACGUGUACAAGUCACCACCACCUCCAUCACCUAAGUACGUGUACAAGUCACCACCACCUCCAUCACCUAAGUACGUGUAUAACUCUCCACCACCUCCAUCACCUAAGUACGUGUACAAGUCACCACCACCUCCAUCACCUAAGUACGUGUACAAGUCACCACCUCCUCCAUCACCUAAGUACGUGUACAAGUCACCACCUCCUCCACCAUACUAUUACAAGUCUCCUCCACCACCAUCGCCAUCUCCUCCUCCACCAUACUACUACAAGUCUCCUCCACCACCAUCGCCAACACCCCCGCCUCCAUACUACUACAAGUCCCCUCCACCACCAUCGCCAUCACCCCCGCCUCCAUAUUACUAUAAGUCACCACCACCACCAUCGCCCUCUCCUCCUCCUCCAUACUACUACAAGUCCCCUCCCCCACCAUCACCGUCACCUCCUCCACCAUACUACUACAAGUCCCCACCACCACCAUCCCCAUCACCUCCUCCACCAUACUACUACAAGUCCCCCCCACCACCAUCCCCAUCACCUCCACCACCAUACUACUACAAGUCCCCCCCACCACCAUCUCCAUCUCCUCCUCCACCAUACUACUACAAGUCCCCACCACCACCAUCCCCAUCUCCCCCACCUCCAUACUAUUACAAGUCUCCUCCACCGCCAUCACCAUCACCCCCACCUCCCUACUACUACCACUCUCCACCUCCACCGGUGAAGUCUCCUCCUCCACCAUACUACUACAAAUCACCACCACCACCAUCACCAUCACCCCCACCUCCCUACUACUAN
RNAcentral lists this long non-coding RNA (4109 nucleotides) under Solanum pimpinellifolium. RNAcentral's name for it is "long non-coding RNA (SPIM_LNC000223)". Lineage: Eukaryota; Viridiplantae; Streptophyta; Magnoliopsida; Solanales; Solanaceae. The record is from RNAcentral.